Molecule: long non-coding RNA, 214 nt
Filed under: Solanum tuberosum (potato)
Lineage: Eukaryota; Viridiplantae; Streptophyta; Magnoliopsida; Solanales; Solanaceae
Description: long non-coding RNA (STUB_LNC008932)
Source: RNAcentral
GGGAAUUCUUCAAGAAACCACCAAUACAACAUAAAUUCAUCCAUAAUUGUUCAUAUAACAUCAAUCAAAGUCAGUUUAUAACAUCAAUUUCACUUUAGAAAGAAGACCCACGUUUUUGGAUUGAAACCUAGAAAUUGGAGAUUUUGAAAUUCAUCUUGAAGGGGCCUCUUGGGGAAAGGAAUCCCAAGAGUGAUAAGCAACCAUACCUUAUUGA